Molecule: long non-coding RNA, 2288 nt
Organism: Ictalurus punctatus (channel catfish)
Lineage: Eukaryota; Metazoa; Chordata; Actinopteri; Siluriformes; Ictaluridae
Source: Ensembl
AUUUAUUUCUUUAUUUUUACAACUUACUGCAGAUUUUUCACCAAUUUGGGCCGUGUGACAUCAUCACGAGAUGCAUUCAGCCAGAGCCCUCUUAGAUUCACGCGUGUUGAACGAAUGUCUGUUAAUGGCUGCUGUAACAGGAACACAGGAACAUGUUUCGCAGACGUUCCACAACGUUAAAUGUCACCUGAGCAAGGACCGUGAUUUAUGAGGAAGCAGCCAUGGGUGGACUGAUAAAGCACUUCGUUUGGAGAAGGAGCAUCUCGGACAAGCAGUAAACACAACCCAUUCCAGGUAUUCAUCUACAUCAGAUGUGUUCGGAGUUCUGGACUGGAUCCGUGGUUUCAGAGAUGAGGGAGCAUUUUCAAAAUCUCACCAAAUGCUUGUAACAGGAUGCUGGCCAGGAAACAGGGGGAUCCCAGGUCCAUGCUAGCUGAAAAACAGAAAGAAUCACUAUUUCCGUCACCACCCGCAGCUUCAUUCCUGUGUGUGUGUGUGUGUGUCUCUAGGUGUGUCCAUGAGAAUACUCCUCAUUGUUGUUUUCAGUGCAUGACAAAGAUUGUAUAAUUUGGAUUUUUGCUUCAUGACUACUGUCUGGGGCACAUGGUGGCACAUUUGCCACCAUGGGGUUCGAAUCCUGCUUCUGCUGCUACCCUGUGUGUGCGGAGUUUGCGUGUUCUCUCCGGGUACUCCGGUGGAAUAUGAAUGUGUGUGUGAUUUGUGCCCUGCGAUGGAUUGGCACCCUGUCCAGGGUGUACCCUGCUUUGUGCCCCAUGCUCCCAGGUUCCCCGUGACCCAGUAGGAUAAGCAGUAUAGAAGACGGAUGGAUGGAUGAUCUGCUAGACCUGCCAACUUGCCAAUUUUGGGGAACAAGGUGGGGGGCACCAUGGAGAGUGCCGGUCCAUCGCAGGACACAAUCACACACACAUUCGUACACUACAGACACUUUUGGACAAUCAGUCUACAGUGCAUGUCUUUGGACUGGGGAGGAAACCCCCGAAGCACAGAACAUGCAAAUUCCGCACACACAGGGCCGUUGCGGGAAUCGGACCCCCAACCCUGGAAGUGUGAAGCACUAAGCCCACCACCAAUCACUGAGCACCAUUGUUCCCAACUACCAAUCACUGAGCACCAUUGUUCCCAACCACCAAUCACUGAGCACCAUUGUUCCCAACCACCAAUCACUGAGCACCAUUGUUCCCAACCACCAAUCACUGAGCACCAUUGUUCCAAACGACCAACCACCGAUCACCAUAUUUCCCACUGACCAACCACAGAUCACCAUUAUCAUCCCACCUGCACACUUCUUACUUUUUCAUUUUAAACUCUCUUCUUGGUGAUACUUACAAGCAAUAUAAGCGAGUCAUUCCAUCCAUGUCCUUUGUGUCUAUUUCUCAACUACUCAUGCCCAUUGCUUCAUUUUAUCUCCUUGAUAAACCUUGAUAAAUAUGCAAAUAACUACUGUGGUGAGAUGACCAAAUACACAUUUCUUUAUAUAUUUAUAUAUAUAUUUUUAUAUAUUUUUUAUUCUGACAAAAGUCUUGUUUUAUUCCCUGCUGAAAACAAACCCAAAACAACAGAAGACCAUCUUGGAAAUUCUAAUGGUUUCCACUGCAAAUACAAUUACAAACCAUUACCAGUCCUCGAUAGUAGCCACUAUACAUAACAUGCCACAUAGAACCCAAUUUACCAGUAGGGACCCACAGCGACCAUUACAGUUUCCAUUAUAACCAAUACAAUUCCCAUUAUAACCAUUACAAAUUCUGCAAGAAUUUCUAUUGUCCCCCCCCCCCCCCCCCCUUCAUGUAACAAGUUUGGACAUACAAAUGAUCUUGAUGAUGCAAAUGAAUCCAUGACGUCAUCCAGAGAUUUCUAACACACCUGGCAACACUGCCUCUGGUCCUCUCGAGUUCUUGCACACACUUUAACUCCCAUGCUUUUUUUUUUUUUUUUUUUUUUUUUUUUUUUUUAAAUCUACAUACGCAUCUGGUGAAAAUAUAUACAGCACUCGUCUCUAGUUGUUGUCCUUCCUGUCUCACCUGCAAGUCAAAUCUGUUAUAUGAUCAGAAUUAAAUAUUAAUAUGAUACAACCUCCACAGCAAAGCAGCACAGAAACCAUCAGUGUAAUAGAAGUCUUACCUGGCUGGAGUGACCAAGGAGGUCCAAACGACUAUCAAAAAUUAACAGUGCAUCAAAUUAAGCAGGAAUGUCUAAUCAUGUCAAUAAUCAGAUAUAAUCAGACAGCCUGCUGAGGCAAAUUCCGCUUGAGUGGAACACAAUCACAGGCG